This 118-nucleotide ribosomal RNA is filed under the name Jaculus jaculus (lesser Egyptian jerboa). Lineage: Eukaryota; Metazoa; Chordata; Mammalia; Rodentia; Dipodidae. The record is from RNAcentral.
GUUUACAGCCAUACCACCCUAAACACACCCAGUCCUGUCUGAUCUUGGAAGCUAAGCAAGGUGAGGCCUGGUUAGUGCCUGAAUGGGAGAAAUGAUCAUGAGAAUGAGUCUGUAGAUC